UUGCACUCCAGCCUGGGUGACACAGUGAAAUUCUGUCCAAAAAAGCAUCAUUUCUCACAGUUCUGGAAGCUGGAAGUCCAAGAUGAAAGUGUGGGCAGAUUAGUUUCUGCUGGGAACACUGCAUCCUCAUGUGGCGGAGGGGAUGGAAGGUCAAGAGGCCUCAGCCAGUUCCCUGCUGCCUUUUUAUGAGGCAUGAAGCCAUUUGCAAGAGUAGGGGGCCCACCUCUUAGUACCACUGCGAUGGCAAUUACAAUGUCAUGUGAAUUCUGGCGGGACACGGUCACACCGUAGCACCAGCACCUGGUGAAUGUGGUUCUCUCCCGUGUCAGAAUUUUGUGAGCUCCACACAGGGUUGCAUCUGUUUUAUUCUCUGAUUGAUUCUAAGCCCCGUGUCCCUGGCAUGGGAUGGCUGCUUGGCAGUGGGGAGUGGAUGAGCCAGUGGUACCCAGGGCUGCCAGGCAGGGCCCUGCAGGGAACAGACCCAAGGACUGACAUGGGGAUGUCUGCUGAAGGGAGUAUUUACCACAAUAAGGGCAGGGCUGGGAGACUGGGCAGCCAGUUUCACCCUCGCACAGGGUACCUGGCAAGACCAGCGGCCGGAGGUGACGUCCUCAGUAAAGAACGGUGGCCACUGGAAACUGCACGGCUGGAAGGGGAAACGCUCGGGCCUCUGGUGGGGACCAGCCUGGGGUGGGGUCGGCCAGGGUCAGCUGCCUUUCCUCCAUGCUGGGACGGAGAUGUUGUGUGCGUGUGACAAAGCAUUUGAUAGCAUGCCAAAAGUUUCCUCCAUUAUGUGUGUGUGAAGUGUUUGACCAGGUCAGAAGUCUUGUUCCAUGCGCGUGUGCUCACACAGAAGCGGAGGGGCCCCGUCGCUCUGCCCUCACGCCACUGAACCGCAGGGGUCUCCCACUCGUCAGGCUCGCGGCUCAGCCGCUAAGUGUGUCAGGUGUGCCUCCUGGGCUCUCCUUCGUGGUCUGUCCUAUGGUGGCACAGGCGGUGGGGUUAGACAGGUACCGGUCAGAUUACGGUGGCACAGGCAGGGGGGUUAGACAGGUACCGGUCAGAUUACGGUGGCACAGGCAGGGGGGUUAGACAGGUACCGGUCAGAUUACGGUGGCACAGGCGGUGGGGUUAGGCAGGUACCGGUCAGAUUACGGUGGCACAGGCAGUGGGGUUAGACAGGUACCGGUCAGAUUACGGUGGCACAGGCAGGGGGGUUAGGCAGGUACCGGUCAGAUUACGGUGGCACAGGUGGUGUGGGGUUAGGCAGGUACCGGUCAGAUUACAUACAGUGGCACAGGCAGGGGGGUUAGACAGGUACUGGUCAGAUUACGGUGGCACAGGCGGUGGGGUUAGGCAGGUACCGGUCAGAUUACGGUGGCACAGGCGGUGGGGUUAGGCAGGUACCGGUCAGAUUACGGUGGCACAGGUGGUGGGGGUUAGACAGGUACCGGUCAGAUGCACGGCUCCCCACACCCCUGCUGUGGCUUUGGCAGUAAGGAGAGGACACACCCACAUCACAAGAGGAGCACAGGCAGGGGUGUUGGUGUUGGGGCAGCCCUCAGGGUCUCCAGACCCCGGCCCCCCUCACACAGCAGCCCAGGAAGGAAGGGCAGAGUCCCAGGUGUCACCCAGGAUCUCCCAGGAGCUGCCCCUUUCUGCAAGUCACGGGACAGGAAUGACAGGUCGGGGGACUGCAGGAAGCUGCCACCUCUGGGGUCAGAACAUGCCCAGGCUGCAGGGGCUCCACUGCGGGGUCUUCGAGAGCCAGACAGCCUGCCUUGUGCUGCACACCUGGCUUUGCUCUGUGCAAAACCCAGCACACGUGAUUUUGUGUGACAUGCCAACAGCCUGGCUCCCUGGACAGGAGGCCUGCCCUGGGGGAGUGGCUGCAGGAGGAGGGUGGGGCGGGCACCCCUGAGUCUGUCCAGCCUCGUCACAGAUGCGUCACCCGCCCUGCAGUCCUGAUUUCAGCUCACUUCAGAGUAAAUCAGAAUAAACCGCACCUGGACUUUCACGAAUGCACGUCGACGCUUUCAGUUCACCCCUUCCUUUGCUAACUUCCUUCCUAUUUUCUUCUAAUGCAAGAGCUUAUUAAUUCAAUAUUUAUCAUUUUGAAUAACUUUUUCCCUUUUUAGUAACAAAAUGUACUCCACUAUUAGUAAAAUAUAUUUACUAUUUUAGUAACAAAAGUAUACUUGCCUAAACAUGUUUAAAAUACAGUGAUGUGAACAAUUCA
Molecule: RNA transcript, 2239 nt
Organism: Cercocebus atys (sooty mangabey)
Lineage: Eukaryota; Metazoa; Chordata; Mammalia; Primates; Cercopithecidae
Exons: 1
Source: RefSeq, a predicted model, not a curated record